AUAAAUGGCACAGUGUUCCUGUUCAUCAGCAUUGGGAUAUUCUUCGUGGUGCUGGAUGCAUGCUCAGGAGCAGUCUUUGACACAGUUACCAGUGAAAACUGCCCCUGCAAUAACUGAGUAUGUUCAAACAUCCAUAAAUGAGAGAUCACUUGUCCUCGUGUGCUCUAGAAAUAUCACAGACAUGCUGGGCAGCUCUGAAAUGUCUGUUUUUCUCAGGUUUGGUUCAGCAAAGCCUAUUAUCUUCCACAAGGGAGAUAAAUCUAUUUAUUCUAUCAUGUUUAUUUGUAUUUUUAUUGCUUUUCAUGUUUCUUUGGCUUUUAAUUAG
Molecule: long non-coding RNA, 325 nt
Filed under: Cyanistes caeruleus (blue tit)
Lineage: Eukaryota; Metazoa; Chordata; Aves; Passeriformes; Paridae
Description: lncRNA (ENSCCEG00000011554.1)
Source: RNAcentral